GACGAACGCUGGCGGCGUGCUUAACACAUGCAAGUCGAACGAUGACGACCGAGCUUGCUCGGUCUGAUUAGUGGCGAACGGGUGAGUAACACGUGAGCAACCUGCCCUUCACUCUGGGAUAACCUCGGGAAAUCGGGGCUAAUACCGGAUAUGAGCUCCUGUCGCAUGGCGGGUGUUGGAAAGUUUUUCGGUGAAGGAUGGGCUCGCGGCCUAUCAGUUUGUUGGUGAGGUAGUGGCUCACCAAGGCGAUGACGGGUAGCCGGCCUGAGAGGGCGACCGGCCACACUGGGACUAAGACACGGCCCAGACUCCUACGGGAGGCAGCAGUGGGGAAUAUUGCACAAUGGGCGAAAGCCUGAUGCAGCGACGCCGCGUGAGGGAUGACGGCCUUCGGGUUGUAAACCUCUUUCAGCAGGGAAGAAGCGAAAGUGACGGUACCUGCAGAAGAAGCGCCGGCUAACUACGUG
This 467-nucleotide ribosomal RNA is filed under the name uncultured bacterium. RNAcentral describes it as "partial 16S ribosomal RNA". It matches the Rfam family "Bacterial small subunit ribosomal RNA", at positions 28 to 507 of the family's 1533-position model. The record is from RNAcentral.